RNAcentral lists this ribosomal RNA (253 nucleotides) under uncultured bacterium. Its description in RNAcentral is "partial 16S ribosomal RNA". It matches the Rfam family "Bacterial small subunit ribosomal RNA", at positions 524 to 776 of the family's 1533-position model. The record is from RNAcentral.
UACAGAGGGGGCAAGCGUUAUUCGGAAUUAUUGGGCGUAAAGCGCGCGCAGGCGGCCUUUUAAGUCUGAUGUGAAAGCCCACGGCUCAACCGUGGAAGGUCAUUGGAAACUGAAAGGCUUGAGUACAGAAGAGGAAAGCGGAAUUCCACGUGUAGCGGUGAAAUGCGUAGAGAUGUGGAGGAACACCAGUGGCGAAGGCGGCUUUCUGGUCUGUAACUGACGCUGAGGCGCGAAAGCGUGGGGAGCAAACAGG